This 344-nucleotide ribosomal RNA is filed under the name uncultured bacterium. RNAcentral describes it as "bacterial SSU rRNA". It matches the Rfam family "Bacterial small subunit ribosomal RNA", at positions 28 to 359 of the family's 1533-position model. The record is from RNAcentral.
GAUGAACGCUAGCUACAGGCUUAACACAUGCAAGUCGCGGGGCAGCAUUCGCUUAGCUUGCUAGGUGAGAUGGCGACCGGCGCACGGGUGAGUAACGCGUAUCCAACCUGCCCUUGUCCACGGGAUAACCCGGUGAAAACCGGCCUAAUACCGUAUGAGGUCACAAGCGGACAUCCAACUGUGACGAAAGGUUUGGCGGACAAGGGAUGGGGAUGCGUCCGAUUAGCUUGACGGCGGGGUAACGGCCCACCGUGGCUACGAUCGGUAGGGGUUCUGAGAGGAAGGUCCCCCANAUUGGAACUGAGACACGGUUCAAAACUUCCUACGGGGAGGCAGCAGUGAGG